CUUGUAAAUCCCAGCACUCAGAAGGCAAAGCAGGAGAGCCACAAGUUCAAGGCCAUCUUAUGCUACAGAGUAAUAUCUUUUCUUAAGCGCUGCAAAAAAAUAAAAUGAAAAACUUGAGUCAACAAACAGAAAGCCAGAGUAACUUCUGAAGUCCCCAAAAGUGGGAAUCAGACAGCAGUGCUAAGGAACAAAUCGAGGGGUGAAGAAAGACUGCAGAAUGGGCAAUCCCAGUGAUCUGAACAAAAAGUACCUGUGUGAAGAGAAACCAGGUGAUCUGCGGUGCUUCAGGAGAAACAAAGAACAAAUGAAAAAGAAGAGGUAAAAAAAGAACAGAGCUCCACACUUAGAAGGAAGGCCAAAGAAGGAGAAAUGUCUUAAGUUCUGAGCCAUCCUGGGCUACAUGGUAAAUUCUAGACCAGCCUGGAUUAGAGUGAGAUUAUGUAGCUAAUAUGACAGCAAGUAUCAAGAUCUAGUUCCCUACCUGAAUUUUUAAAUCAGUUCACCAAAAAUGUCAGGUAUAUUGAAAUAACCAGGUCAGGUGGUGGCAGCGAUGGCAGUGGCAGAGGCACACACUUUUAGUCUCCUAGCACUUGGGAGGCAGAGGCAGAUGGAUCUCUAUGAGUUUGAGGCCAGUCUGGUCUACGGAGCAAAUUCCAAAAGAGCCAGGGUUAUACAGAGAAACCUUAUCUGAGAGAGGGAGUGGGGCAGAGGGAGAGGAAGAGAGGGAGGAAGAGAGAGAGGGGAGAAGGAGGAGGAGAGGUAGGGAGAGAAGGGGAGGGAGAGAAAAAACUGACUGACUGGGGUGUCUGAGGACUGUCCCAUUUCUCUGCAAGCUAUUUGCUAUUCGAUAAAACUUAAAAAUUAAAAUUUAAGUCCUGAAGUAUAAGGCAAAUCUGGAAGCAAAACCAUCAAUCUCGGUACCAUUUAUUUUGAAAUAGGGUUUCUCUCAUGCAGCCAGCCCAGGCUGGCCUCAAAUAUGCCCAAAUAACUACCUUUGUUUCAGUACGCAUCUACAUGUCAACAUUGAGUGGCCCUGAACAGAGUGGAGAACGUCGAGGAGCCAGGAGGCCAGGCCCAUGGAUCUGCAAAUGUGGUGACACAGAGCUCCUCUGGGGACCAGACACUGAAACCUGAGGCUGAGGGUCAGGGCCUUGUGCUCCAGCUAUGAGACUCCACAUCAGACCCAAUGUGUGGCCAGUGUAACAUGAGAACCCUGUUUAAUACUCUUUAAUGUAUUUAACACAAUUAUGGGAAAAGGAACUAACUCCAAAUGGUGUGCACUUAGGACUCUCAGCAUUGCCUUUUUCUGUAAUCACCAAGGACCCUGAGCGCUGGCGUGUUCAUCAGGAGACCUGAGCUAAAAUUGCUGAUGGUGGCUGCAGGGUUGAAGACCUGGCACCUCUUCCCAGACUGGUGGCAGGUUGAACGGGUGUGGUCCAGAGCUAAGUGAGGGAGACCAGGUCCUUUGAAACUCAUCUGAUGAUGGCUUCUGGCCAUAGCAAGUGUUGGGUGGUGAUGGGGAACAAGGGGGUUGAGAACAAGGAGGAAAGCUGCACCCCCUGAAUAAAGAUGGGGAGCUAGAAAACUAUGAAUUCCUCAUCUAUGGCCAAUUUCAGAGGGAGGGGAGGGUUACAAUCUAACAUUUGGCUAAGGGGAGGGGAGGGUUACAAUCUAACAUUUGGCUAAGGAUAGGGGAGGGUUACAAUGUAACAUUUGGCUAAGGGUAGGGUACAGGUGGAAAAGUGAGGACUAUGGUUUGCAUGGGGCAUCACUUAAAACUUAAGGAAGCAAGGGUGUGACUAAAGUGCCCUUAAGACCAGCAGUAGCCCUAAGGCCACUACCUAAAGCCUUUCUAUCUACUCUAAGGGCCACCAUGCAGCUGUGGUGGGAAUGUGGGAUGGGCAAAGGCAUUCAGGGGAUGUGUCAGCAGCAGGUAGGUGAUUGUGUGACAUGUCUAUUCUCGUUGCCUCAGCUGUGUCCACAGAUCCCAAAGGAAGCCAAUUUCAACACACCUCCUUGGUCUCAGAAAUUCAACAAGGCAGACAGUGGGUAUACUCAAUGGAUGAUGUCGCACAGCACAAACGGAAGAUUUUACACAGCAAGACUUGAGUGUUUCAGUGCCCCAGCUGAGGCCAGAAGAUGGCAUCAGAUAUCCUGGAACUGGAAUUACAGAGAGCUGUGAGCCACCUUGUGGGCACCUGGACCCAAUCCUGGGUGCCCUGAAAGAGCAACGAGCGUCCUGAACCACGAAGUCAUCUUGCCAGCCUCAAGUGCAACUUUAAACAGUUAGGUUCUGUUAAUGUUUUCUUAAACGUGCUUUUAUUUACAACCAUGCUAACUGUCAUGAUGUCUUUGGAAACACAUCUCUUUUAAGAAGCAGGGCUGUGGAGACGUUGGAAUGGCCGACGGUCUUUGCUGCCGAGCCUGAGUUCCGUCUCGGGGACCAGUGUGGUCAGAGGAGAGAUCUGACUCUGUGAGCUGUCCUCUGACCUCCAGAAGCAUUUGAACAUAUGGGGACUCACAUAACAGAUAAUGUAACUUU
This is a non-coding RNA of Rattus norvegicus (Norway rat), 2542 nucleotides long. Lineage: Eukaryota; Metazoa; Chordata; Mammalia; Rodentia; Muridae. The record is from RefSeq and is a predicted model, not a curated record.